RNAcentral lists this unclassified non-coding RNA (358 nucleotides) under Globaria promontorii. RNAcentral describes it as "Bovista promontorii partial internal transcribed spacer region". The stretch from base 1 to 46 matches the Rfam family "Eukaryotic small subunit ribosomal RNA", at positions 1786 to 1831 of the family's 1831-position model. Lineage: Eukaryota; Fungi; Basidiomycota; Agaricomycetes; Agaricales; Lycoperdaceae. The record is from RNAcentral. RNAcentral also lists the same sequence under 1 other name.
AAGUCGUAACAAGGUUUCCGUAGGUGAACCUGCGGAAGGAUCAUUAUUGAAUAUUCUUGAUGGGUUGUAGCUGGCUCUUCGGGGCAUGUGCACGCUUGUCUUGAUUUUAUUCGUCCACCUGUGCACCUUUUGUAGUCUUGUGGGUUGAGAGCAGUCAACUAUCGGACAGCUAUUACGGCCGCUCCGGAUGUGAGGAAUGCUGAGUGCGAAAGCAUACAGCUCUUCUCAAAACGAUUGCAAUACCUCUCCCUCGAGUACUAUGUAUUCAUAUACCACUUGUAUGUUGUAGAAUGUGAUCAAUGGGCUUAUGUGCCUAUAAUAAUCAAUACAACUUUCAGCAACGGAUCUCUUGGCUCUC